CAGAGUACACAGCUUCCUUACUUUAGUAAAUUUUACUCAAGUACAAGUAAAAGUACUACAGUCAGAUGUCUACUUAAGUAAAAGUACUGAAGUACUUGUUUUUAAAAGUACUUGAGUAUCAAGAGUACAAGAGUACAUUUUCUAAAUAUUGCAUUACUACUGCCACAGUGCUUACAUUUAUGUAUAGAAACGUCCUAGAUGGAGUUAUGAAAAAUGUUAAUGUUAAUACCUUGGAGAAUGUAAAAGGAAUUGAAAGUAAAAUCAAGUCAUUUUCAUCUUUUUACCAUGUUGCUUUAUUUAACAUUUCUCACUUGCCCACAAGGCAAUAGCACAAUGGCAACGCUCUGACAAACCUCUGCUAGUGUUAAUGGAUUUGCAUCCACAUUUGAACCUGACUGUGUUAAAAACACAGUAUACUCAAGAACAUAAAAACAAAUUGCUUCGCCUUGAAGCCUGUUCCACCUUCUGAUGGCCUCUUGCAGGCUGUUGAAGUCAGUUGACAGUAUUCCUCCAGAUGUGUCUCAUGCCUUCUCUGUAAAACACAGUAUAAUAUUUCAGUUUACACUAUAAUAAACUAAUAAAUAUUAGAAAAGAUACCCAUCACGUAGUCUACAUAGCAGUAUUAUCAAUUAUGAAGUGCUGGUUGUUCAUAAUUUUCCAAUGGCUCCAGACUAACUUUUUAAAUUGGUUUUACUGAUGCAACUAACUUUAAUUUACGUGGACCAGCAAAGUAUUUAGGUCCUUCUGACAUUCUAACAAGUGCUGCAAUAUU
Mugil cephalus (flathead mullet) is the source of this 772-nucleotide long non-coding RNA. RefSeq lists it as uncharacterized. The transcript is spliced from 3 exons. Lineage: Eukaryota; Metazoa; Chordata; Actinopteri; Mugiliformes; Mugilidae. The record is from RefSeq and is a predicted model, not a curated record.